This 439-nucleotide ribosomal RNA is filed under the name uncultured bacterium. Its description in RNAcentral is "partial 16S ribosomal RNA". It matches the Rfam family "Bacterial small subunit ribosomal RNA", at positions 339 to 795 of the family's 1533-position model. The record is from RNAcentral.
CUACGGGCGGCUGCAGUGAGGAAUAUUGCACAAUGGGGGGAACCCUGAUGCAGCAACGCCGCGUGGAGGAUGACGCAUUUCGGUGUGUAAACUCCUUUUAUAUGUCAAGAAAAUGACGGUAGCAUAUGAAUAAGCACCGGCUAACUCCGUGCCAGCAGCCGCGGUAAUACGGAGGGUGCAAGCGUUACUCGGAAUCACUGGGCGUAAAGGACGCGUAGGCGGGUUGGAAAGUCAGGUGUGAAAUCCUACAGCUUAACUGUAGAACUGCACUUGAAACUUCUAAUCUAGAGUAUGGGAGGGGGAGAUGGAAUUAGUGGUGUAGGGGUAAAAUCCGUAGAUAUCACUAGGAAUACCUAAAGCGAAGGCGAUCUCCUGGAACAUUACUGACGCUAAGGCGUGAAAGCGUGGGGAGCAAACAGGAUUAGAUACCCGCGUAGUC